Molecule: ribosomal RNA, 234 nt
Filed under: uncultured Thiobacillus sp.
Lineage: Bacteria; Pseudomonadati; Pseudomonadota; Betaproteobacteria; Nitrosomonadales; Thiobacillaceae
Description: partial 16S ribosomal RNA
Rfam family: Bacterial small subunit ribosomal RNA
Source: RNAcentral
CCGGUGACAAACCGGAGGAAGGUGGGGAUGACGUCAAGUCCUCAUGGCCCUUAUGGGUAGGGCUUCACACGUCAUACAAUGGUCGGUACAGAGGGUUGCCAAGCCGCGAGGCGGAGCCCAAGUCCCACAAAGCCGAAUCGUAGUCCGGAUUGUUCUCUGCAACUCGAGAGCAUGAAGUCGGAAUCGCUAGUAAUCGCAGGUCAGCAUACUGCGGUGAAUACGUUCCGGGGUCUU